RNAcentral lists this unclassified non-coding RNA (648 nucleotides) under uncultured Prochlorococcus sp. Its description in RNAcentral is "partial 16S-23S ribosomal RNA intergenic spacer; may also contain 16S ribosomal RNA and 23S ribosomal RNA". The stretch from base 306 to 378 matches the Rfam family "tRNA". The record is from RNAcentral. Lineage: Bacteria; Bacillati; Cyanobacteriota; Cyanophyceae; Synechococcales; Prochlorococcaceae.
UUGUGGAGGAGGACGCCGAAGGUGGGGCUAAUGACUGGGGUGAAGUCGUAACAAGGUAGCCGUACCGGAAGGUGCGGCUGGAUCACCUCCUAACAGGGAGACAACAAAAUGUUUAAUAUUAUUAUUUUGUCACCUUAGGUCGAUCGGUAUCUCACAUCCUUAAAUUAAUUAAGGAUUUUAUUUCCUAAGUUUUUCUAGGUCACACCCAUUAUUUUUCCUGGGCCAUUAGCUCAGGUGGUUAGAGCGCACCCCUGAUAAGGGUGAGGUCCCUGGUUCAAGUCCAGGAUGGCCCAUAUCUCUAUGUUGGGGGUAUAGCUCAGUUGGUAGAGCGCCUGCUUUGCAAGCAGGAUGUCAGCGGUUCGAGUCCGCUUACCUCCACUGAUCACCACCUCUUCCAUAAUCGGUAGAAAGGAAAUUUUUUGAGUUGUGAUCAAAUUCUGAAAGAAUCUAGCUUCCUAAUGAAACCAUUAAGAUGCUGGACUCAUUGAAUUAAUUUCAUUGUUUUCAGAGAACCUUGACAACUGCAUAGAUUAUUUUUAAAGACAAUAAGCAUCUUUAAUGAUGCAGAUUUAUUAUUUGUGCAAAUGCAUUAAUAACAAUUCUAUUAAGCUGAUGCUUCAAUAUUUGAAGUUAUUGGUCAAGCUACAA